UAUCCUUCCAAAGGAUACUGCGGGGAAAGAAGAGACUGCAUGGAAAGAGGAGAAAAAGUGUAGUUGUAUAUUGGAAAAGCCUGACAAAUACUACCUCAAUUGGGUGAUCAAGCCCUUAAUCUCAGAUCAGUCAUGAGAAAGACAUCAAACAAAUCCAAAUGGGGGACAUUCUGCGAAAUAACUCACCAGUACUCCUCAAAACUAUAAAGGUCAUCAAAAACAAGGAAACUCUGAGAAAUUGUCAUAGCCAAGAGGAGCCUGAGGAGAUAAUGACAACUAAAUGCAAUCUAGUAUACUGGAUGAGAUCCUGGAAUAGAAAAAGAACAUCAGCAAUGUGAACAAACCAAACUGUCAAACACUGAACCAGUGGAAAAUGAAUGUACUUCCAAAAUCAUUUCCCUGAUCCACUGCAAACAGCUUGAUCACAUUGGAGAAUGUGACCCAUGCAGUUGCUGAAGCGUGUUUUCCCACUAUACCUCAUGCAGAAAAAUCAAACUAAGAGUAAUCUUGAAAUGUCACUUCACAAACCAAACUGAAGAAACUGGAAGAGAUAAACUAGGAUUUCCCCUGGUGGGCCAUGCAGAGUGGCAGUGGGUACCUGGGAGAGCCCUAGAAACUUGGGGGGAGGGUCAAAGACCAGGACCUGGUGCUGAGCUUCAGGGAAUGAAUCUUCCUAGAGCAUUCCCACUGGUGAAUCAGGAUACCAUCUGCAUAUGUCAUCAAGUGGCUCGCUUCCCGCCUUUGCCAAAUAUAUUAGAUCUUUAUUGUUGCAGUAACAAAUCGCCAUACGCUGAGUGGAUUAAAGCAUCACAAAUUUAUUUUUACAGUUCUGGAGGUCAAAAGUCCAGUAAGGAUCUCACUAGAUUAACAUAGAUGUGUCAGCAGAGCUGUGUCUGCUUUUGGAGGUUAGCAUAGCAGGUGGAGUCUCUCUCAUAACAAGUUUCACUGACUCUUUUGUCACCAUACCUUUUUCUCUGACCACCUUUGGAAAAGGUCUCUGCUUUUAAGGAUUCGUGUGAUUAGAUGGGGCCCACCUGGCUAUUUCAGGAUAAUUUCCCCAUCUCAAGGUCUAUAACCUUAAUCAUAGCUGCAAAGUACCCUUGUUAUGUAAGAUAACAUUCACAGAUUUGGGGGGACAGGAAAUAGGUUUUUUAGGGGGUCAUUAUCCUGCCUACCACACCAAGUGAAGAAAGAGUAGGAUAAUCUUUAUCUUUCUGGCCUCCACCUUCCUGAUCUUAACCCGCGUUGACUGGAUCUGGGCCUACUACCAUACAUUCCAACAUAUUCUAACACUACCCCCUUCUUAUUGCUUAGUUUUAUUUAGCUCACUGGCUUGAAAACCAUACCAUCUAUGAUUUCCCUUAUUAUCCUCAACCAUAUCUAGGAUGUGGAAAAUGUAUAAGAAAUAAUGUGCUUUUUGUGUUAACUGUAAAAAUAUGUGUUAAUUCUCAGUAACAAUCUUGCAUCUACACAUCAGUUGUCUCUUGGGGUAGGGGCCUAAAUUUUUUUCCAAAAUGAAACAUACGCAUUAAAACAGCAGUAUGAGAUGGUCAUAAUAUACUUAACAAUGGCAACCAGUUUGGAUUCUUUGAAUAAAUAAAACUGAAUAGAUGGGUUUCUUUAGAUGAGGACCUUUAGGUCUCCCUAAAAGGAAGGAACUAAAAGGAACUCCCACCUUCCUUUUAGUCUGUGCCCUGUGUAGCGUCAGGAGGACAGAAGAUUAUUGUAUUGUGUUCUUAGGACCAAAUGAAUAAACAUCAUUUGCCUAUUAAAAAUUAUGGUAUUUUAUUUUUAAAGAACUGUGCUGGGGGUGCCUUGCUGGCUUAGUCAGAACAGCAUUGAUUCUUGAUGCCGGGGUCGUAAAUUCAAGCCUCAUGUUGGA
Molecule: long non-coding RNA, 1882 nt
Organism: Prionailurus viverrinus (fishing cat)
Lineage: Eukaryota; Metazoa; Chordata; Mammalia; Carnivora; Felidae
Exons: 3
Source: RefSeq, a predicted model, not a curated record